This 465-nucleotide ribosomal RNA is filed under the name uncultured bacterium. Its description in RNAcentral is "partial 16S ribosomal RNA". It matches the Rfam family "Bacterial small subunit ribosomal RNA", at positions 28 to 507 of the family's 1533-position model. The record is from RNAcentral.
GAUGAACGCUGGCGGCGUGCUUAACACAUGCAAGUCGAACGAUGAAGCCCAGCUUGCUGGGUGGUUUAGUGGCGAACGGGUGAGUAACACGUGAGUAACCUGCCCUUCACUCUGGGAUAAGCCUGGGCAACUGGGCCUAAUACCGGCUAGGAGAGUCCACCGCCUGGAGGGUGUUGGAAAGAUUUAUCGGUUUUGGAUGGACUCGAGGCCUAUCAGCUUCUUGGUGAGGUAAUGGCUCACUAAGGCGACGACGGGUAGCCGGCCUGAGAGGGUGACCGGCCACACUGGGACUGGGACACGGCCCAGACGCAUACGGGAGGAAGCAGUGGGGAAUAUUGCACAAUGGGCGCAAGCAUGAUGCAGGGACGCCGCGUGGUGGAUGACGGCCUUCGGGUUGUAAACCUCUUGCAGUAGGGAGAAGCGAAAGUGACGGUACCUGCAGAAGAAGCACCGGCUAACUACGUG